GCCUAAGGUUUCCUGAGGAAGGCUCGUCCUCUCAGGGUUAGUCGGGACCUAAGCCGAGGCCGAAAGGCGUAGGCGAUGGACAACAGGUAGAUAUUCCUGUACCACCUCAUGAACGUUUGAACGAUGGGGGGACGCAGUAGGAUAAGGAAUGCGCACGGAUGGAUGUGUGCGCCCAAGCAGUGAGAAAGUCGGAUAGGCAAAUCCGUCCGAUAAUUUCAAGCUGUGACGGGGAGGGAAAUAGAGUACCGAAGUUCCGGAUUUCACACUGCCAAGAAAAGCCUCUAGUAAGUUCAUAGGUGCCCGUACCGCAAACCGACACAGGUAGGCGAGGAGAGAAUCCUAAGGUGAGCGGGAGAACUCUCGUUAAGGAACUCGGCAAAAUGACCCCGUAACUUCGGGAGAAGGGGUGCUCCUUUAAGGAGGAGCCGCAGUGAAUAGGCCCAAGCGACUGUUUAGCAAAAACACAGGUCUCUGCGAAGCCGAAAGGCGAAGUAUAGGGGCUGACACCUGCCCGGUGCUGGAAGGUUAAGGGGAAACGUUAGUGCUUCGGCACGAAGCGUAGAACCGAAGCCCCAGUAAACGGCGGCCGUAACUAUAACGGUCCUAAGGUAGCGAAAUUCCUUGUCGGGUAAGUUCCGACCCGCACGAAAGGUGCAACGACUUGGGCACUGUCUCAACGAGAGACCCGGUGAAAUUAUACUAUGCGUGAAGAUGCGCAUUACCCGCGACAGGACGGAAAGACCCCGUGGAGCUUUACUGUAGCCUGAUAUUGAAUGUUGGUACAGCUUGUACAGGAUAGGUGGGAGCCAUCGAAGCGUGAGCGCUAGCUUACGUGGAGGCAACCGUGGGAUACCACCCUGGCUGUACGAACCUUCUAACCCAGGGCCGUGAUCCGGUCCGGAGACAGUGUCAGGCGGGCAGUUUGACUGGGGCGGUCGCCUCCCAAAAGGUAACGGAGGCGCCCAAAGGUUCCCUCAGAAUGGUUGGAAAUCAUUCGCAGAGUGUAAAGGCAGAAGGGAGCUUGACUGCGAGACCUACAAGUCGAGCAGGGACGAAAGUCGGGCUUAGUGAUCCGGUGGUUCCGCAUGGAAGGGCCAUCGCUCAACGGAUAAAAGCUACCCCGGGGAUAACAGGCUUAUCUCCCCCAAGAGUUCACAUCGACGGGGAGGUUUGGCACCUCGAUGUCGGCUCAUCGCAUCCUGGGGCUGUAGUCGGUCCCAAGGGUUGGGCUGUUCGCCCAUUAAAGCGGUACGCGAGCUGGGUUCAGAACGUCGUGAGACAGUUCGGUCCCUAUCCGUCGUGGGCGCAGGAGGUUUGAGAGGAGCUGUCCUUAGUACGAGAGGACCGGGAUGGACACACCGCUGGUGUACCAGUUGUUCCGCCAGGAGCAUAGCUGGGUAGCUACGUGUGGCAGGGAUAAGUGCUGAAAGCAUCUAAGCAUGAAGCCCCCCUCAAGAUGAGACUUCCCAUCACUAAAAGUGAGUAAGAUCCCUCAGAGAUGAUGAGGUUGAUAGGUCCGAGGUGGAAGCGUGGUGACACGUGUAGCUGACGGAUACUAAUCGAUCGAGGACUUAACUAA
RNAcentral lists this ribosomal RNA (1579 nucleotides) under Virgibacillus pantothenticus. RNAcentral describes it as "partial 23S ribosomal RNA". It matches the Rfam family "Bacterial large subunit ribosomal RNA", at positions 1343 to 2925 of the family's 2925-position model. The record is from RNAcentral. Lineage: Bacteria; Bacillati; Bacillota; Bacilli; Caryophanales; Bacillaceae.